This 256-nucleotide ribosomal RNA is filed under the name uncultured bacterium. Its description in RNAcentral is "partial 16S ribosomal RNA". It matches the Rfam family "Bacterial small subunit ribosomal RNA", at positions 524 to 777 of the family's 1533-position model. The record is from RNAcentral.
UACGGAGGGGGCUAGCGUUGUUCGGAAUUACUGGGCGUAAAGGGCGCGUAGGCGGUGUGUCAAGUCAGGCGUGAAAGCCCCGGGCUCAACCUGGGAACCGCGCUUGAGACUGGCACGCUAGAGUUCGGGAGAGGAUGGUGGAAUUCCCAGUGUAGAGGUGAAAUUCGUAGAUAUUGGGGAAGAACACCGAUGGCGAAGGCAGCCAUCUGGACCGACACUGACGCUGAGGCGCGAAAGCGUGGGGGAGCAAACAGGG